GAAUGCUGACAUAAGUAACGAUAAAGCGGGUGAAAAGCCCGCUCGCCGGAAGACCAAGGGUUCCUGUCCAACGUUAAUCGGGGCAGGGUGAGUCGACCCCUAAGGCGAGGCCGAAAGGCGUAGUCGAUGGGAAACGGGUUAAUAUUCCCGUACUUGGUGUUACUGCGAAGGGGGGACGGAGAAGGCUAUGUUGGCCGGGCGACGGUUGUCCCGGUUUAAGCGUGUAGGUGUGUGUUCCAGGUAAAUCCGGUUCACUUUAACACUGAGGCGUGACGACGAGGCACUACGGUGCUGAAGCAACAAAUGCCCUGCUUCCAGGAAAAGCCUCUAAGCAUCAGGUAACAUCAAAUCGUACCCCAAACCGACACAGGUGGUCAGGUAGAGAAUACCAAGGCGCUUGAGAGAACUCGGGUGAAGGAACUAGGCAAAAUGGUGCCGUAACUUCGGGAGAAGGCACGCUGACACGUAGGUGAAGUGAUUUACUCAUGGAGCUGAAGUCAGUCGAAGAUACCAGCUGGCUGCAACUGUUUAUUAAAAACACAGCACUGUGCAAACACGAAAGUGGACGUAUACGGUGUGACGCCUGCCCGGUGCCGGAAGGUUAAUUGAUGGGGUCAGCGCAAG
Molecule: ribosomal RNA, 624 nt
Filed under: Salmonella enterica
Lineage: Bacteria; Pseudomonadati; Pseudomonadota; Gammaproteobacteria; Enterobacterales; Enterobacteriaceae
Also listed under: 2 other names
Description: partial 23S ribosomal RNA
Rfam family: Bacterial large subunit ribosomal RNA
Source: RNAcentral